Molecule: ribosomal RNA, 500 nt
Filed under: uncultured Glomeromycotina
Lineage: Eukaryota; Fungi; Glomeromycota
Description: partial small subunit ribosomal RNA
Rfam family: Eukaryotic small subunit ribosomal RNA
Source: RNAcentral
CCAAUAGCGUAUAUUAAAGUUGUUGCAGUUAAAAAGCUCGUAGUUGAAUUUCGGGAUCAGUUCGUUGGUCGUGCCUUUGGUAUGUACUGGUGUUACUGGUUCCUCCCUUCUGACGAACCGUCAUGUCAUUAAUUUGGUGUGGCGGGAAAUCAGGACUGUUACUUUGAAAAAAUUAGAGUGUUUAAAGCAGGCUCGCGCUUGAAUACAUUAGCAUGGAAUAAUGAAAUAGGACGUUCGAUCCUAUUUUGUUGGUUUCUAGGAUUGACGUAAUGAUUAAUAGGGAUAGUUGGGGGCAUUAGUAUUCAAUUGUCAGAGGUGAAAUUCUUGGAUUUAUUGAAGACUAACUACUGCGAAAGCAUUUGCCAAGGAUGUUUUCAUUAAUCAAGAACGAAAGUUAGGGGAUCGAAGACGAUCAGAUACCGUCGUAGUCUUAACCAUAAACUAUGCCGACUAGGGAUCGGAUGAUGUUAAUUUUUUAAUGACUCAUUCGGCGCCUUACG